CUUUACUGUAGCCUGGUAUUGGGUUCGGGCUUUGACUGCGCAGGAUAGGUGGGAGACUAUGAAGCUGCCCUUGUGGGGGCAGUGGAGUCAUCAGUGAGAUACCACUCUGUCAAGGCUAGAAUUCUAACCGUCUGCCGUUAUCCGGCGACGGAACAGUAUCAGGUGGGCAGUUUGACUGGGGCGGUCGCCUCCUAAAUGGUAACGGAGGCGCGCAAAGGUUCCCUCAGGCUGGUUGGAAAUCAGCCGAAGAGUGUAAAGGCAGAAGGGAGCUUGACUGCAAGAGCAACAACUCAAGCAGGGACGAAAGUCGGCCUUAGUGAUCCGACGGUUCUGUGUGGAAGGGCCGUCGCUCAACGGAUAAAAGUUA
RNAcentral lists this ribosomal RNA (367 nucleotides) under uncultured organism. Its description in RNAcentral is "bacterial LSU rRNA". It matches the Rfam family "Bacterial large subunit ribosomal RNA", at positions 2099 to 2465 of the family's 2925-position model. The record is from RNAcentral.